AUGUCCACAGGUGGGUUUGUAGUUUUCUUUGGACCUAAUCUCAUCUCAUGGUGUGCCAAGAAACAGACAACUGUCUCUAGGUCAAGUACUGAGGCAGAAUAUAAGGCGUUGGCCAAUGCAACAGCCGAAAUUAUAUCGGUCAGAUCUAUGCUUAAGGAGCUUGGAAUAUAUCAUAUACAAACUCCAUGUCUUUGGUGUGACAAUCUUGGUGCCACAUAUCUUUCAGCUAAUUCGGUCUUCCAUGCAAGAACCAAGCACAUUGAGAUUGAUUAUCAUUUUGUUCGUGAAAGGGUUGCAAGCAAGGAGUUGGAGAUCCGGUUUGUCCCUUCAAAAGAUCAAGUUGCAGAUGGCUUCACAAAGGCUUUGGCUACAGGGCCGUUUGAAGAGUUCAAGCGUAAUCUGAACUUGAGAAGCUUAGAUUAA
Molecule: ribosomal RNA, 423 nt
Filed under: Triticum aestivum (bread wheat)
Lineage: Eukaryota; Viridiplantae; Streptophyta; Magnoliopsida; Poales; Poaceae
Description: partial small subunit ribosomal RNA
Source: RNAcentral